RNAcentral lists this ribosomal RNA (511 nucleotides) under uncultured microorganism. RNAcentral's name for it is "bacterial SSU rRNA". It matches the Rfam family "Bacterial small subunit ribosomal RNA", at positions 9 to 524 of the family's 1533-position model. The record is from RNAcentral.
GAGUUUGAUCAUGGCUCAGGAUGAACGCUGGCGGCGUGCUUAACACAUGCAAGUCGAACGAGGAAUUUUAAAUGAGACUUCGGUGGAUUUUAAAAUUCUUAGUGGCGGACGGGUGAGUAACGCGUGGGCAACCUGCCCUGUACAGGGGGACAACAGCUGGAAACGGCUGCUAAUACCGCAUAAGACCACGGAGCCGCAUGGCUCAGUGGGAAAAACUCCGGUGGUACAGGAUGGGCCCGCGUUGGAUUAGGUAGUUGGUGAGGUAACGGCCCACCAAGCCGACGAUCCAUAGCCGACCUGAGAGGGUGACCGGCCACGUUGGGACUGAGACACGGCCCAAACUCCUACGGGAGGCAGCAGUGGGGAAUCUUCCGCAAUGGGCGAAAGCCUGACGGAGCAACGCCGCGUGAGUGAAGAAUUAUUUCGGUAUGUAAAGCUCUAUCAGCAGGGAAGAAAAUGACGGUACCUGACUAAGAAGCCCGGCUAACUACGUGCCAGCAGCCGCCGUAAU